Molecule: long non-coding RNA, 122 nt
Organism: Maniola jurtina (meadow brown)
Lineage: Eukaryota; Metazoa; Arthropoda; Insecta; Lepidoptera; Nymphalidae
Exons: 2
Source: RefSeq, a predicted model, not a curated record
GUAGCGCCUAAACUACUGAGCCGAUUUUGUUGAAUGAGGUGUCAAUUGCUUCCUUGUAAAGGACCGGGUGACAUACUAGGCUAUAUUUUAUACGAAAAAAAUUGACCUAACGGAUGUUAUAU